Molecule: long non-coding RNA, 301 nt
Filed under: Dromaius novaehollandiae (emu)
Lineage: Eukaryota; Metazoa; Chordata; Aves; Casuariiformes; Dromaiidae
Description: lncRNA (ENSDNVG00000016785.1)
Source: RNAcentral
UUCAGAACCUUGGAAUUGGCAGCAAAUGGAAAUUCAACUCUUCAUCAGACAUACCUGGCGCAGUUUUGAUCAUCUUGGUCUCAGCCUUAAGAUCUAAGGAACUGUGCUGGAUAGAGCGGGGGUACAGGAAAAGAGACUGAAAAAGAACUGAGAUGUCACUUUUGCCACCCUUGCCCUUGUCUCUGACUUCACUGGCAGAUUUUAGGACUGAUGCAAGGAGGCUGCUGACUGACAGCCCUGUGGAGAGAAACUCGGAACCAGUAUUAAUGACGGCCAGCCUGCCUGCUGGGAGAGUGACACC